UACUCGAGCGGCGAACGGGUGAGUAACACGUGAGUAAUCUGCCCCUGGCUUUGGGAUAGCCACCGGAAACGGUGAUUAAUACCGGAUACGACAACUUCUCGCAUGGGAUGGUUGUGGAAAGUUUUUCGGCCAGGGAUGUGCUCGCGGCCUAUCAGCUUGAUGGUGAGGUAAUGGCUCACCAUGGCUUCGACGGGUAGCCGGCCUGAGAGGGUGACCGGCCACACUGGGACUGAGACACGGCCCAGACUCCUACGGGAGGCAGCAGUGGGGAAUAUUGGACAAUGGGCGGAAGCCUGAUCCAGCAACGCCGCGUGAGGGAUGACGGCCUUCGGGUUGUAAACCUCUUUCAGCAGGGACGAAGCGCAAGUGACGGUACCUGCAGAAGAAGCACCGGCCAACUACGUGCCAGCAGCCGCGGUAAUACGUAGGGUGCGAGCGUUGUCCGGAAUUAUUGGGCGUAAAGGGCUCGUAGGCGGUUUGUCGCGUCGGGAGUGAAAACCAGGUGCUUAACACCUGGCUUGCUUUCGAUACGGGCAGACUAGAGGUAUUCAGGGGAGAACGGAAUUCCUGGUGUAGCGGUGAAAUGCGCAGAUAUCAGGAGGAACACCGGUGGCGAAGGCGGUUCUCUGGGAAUGACCUG
This 640-nucleotide ribosomal RNA is filed under the name Nocardioides sp. I12A-02619. RNAcentral's name for it is "bacterial SSU rRNA". It matches the Rfam family "Bacterial small subunit ribosomal RNA", at positions 88 to 742 of the family's 1533-position model. Lineage: Bacteria; Bacillati; Actinomycetota; Actinomycetes; Propionibacteriales; Nocardioidaceae. The record is from RNAcentral.